UACAGAGGUCCCGAGCGUUGUUCGGAUUCACUGGGCGUAAAGGGUGCGCAGGUGGCUUGGCAAGUUUGAUGUGAAAGCUCAGGGCUUAACCCUGAAAUGGCAUUGAAUACUGUUGAGCUGGAGGUUUGGAGGGGGGACUGGAAUUCUUGGUGUAGCAGUGAAAUGCGUAGAUAUCAAGAGGAACACCGGUGGCGAAGGCGGGUCUCUGGGCCGAUACUGACGCUGAGGAGCGAAAGCGUGGGGAGCGAACAGG
Molecule: ribosomal RNA, 253 nt
Filed under: uncultured bacterium
Lineage: Bacteria
Description: partial 16S ribosomal RNA
Rfam family: Bacterial small subunit ribosomal RNA
Source: RNAcentral